GGGUUUGUGUCCGAGUGGUUAUGGAGCUGCACUCGAAAUGCAGUGGCGUCUCGCCGCGCGAGUUCAAAUCUCGUCAAGCCAA
Non-coding RNA from Sphaeroforma arctica JP610, 82 nucleotides. The record is from Rfam. NCBI's taxonomy places the organism in Eukaryota, Ichthyosporea, Ichthyophonida.